AACGAACGCUGGCGGCAGGCCUAACACAUGCAAGUCGAGCGGACCCUCCGGGGUUAGCGGCGGACGGGUGAGUAACGCGUGGGAACGUGCCCUUUUCUUCGGAAUAGCCCUGGGAAACUGGGAGUAAUACCGGAUACGCCCUUUUGGGGAAAGAUUUAUCGGCGAAGGAUCGGCCCGCGUUGGAUUAGGUAGUUGGUGGGGUAAUGGCCUACCAAGCCGACGAUCCAUAGCUGGUUUGAGAGGAUGAUCAGCCACACUGGGACUGAGACACGGCCCAGACUCCUACGGGAGGCAGCAGUGGGGAAUCUUAGACAAUGGGGGAAACCAUGAUCUAGCCAUGCCGCGUGAGCGAUGAAGGCCUUAGGGUUGUAAAGCUCUUUCACCGGGGAAGAUAAUGACGGUACCCGGAGAAGAAGCCCCGGCUAACUCCGUG
This 433-nucleotide ribosomal RNA is filed under the name uncultured bacterium. Its description in RNAcentral is "partial 16S ribosomal RNA". It matches the Rfam family "Bacterial small subunit ribosomal RNA", at positions 29 to 507 of the family's 1533-position model. The record is from RNAcentral.